Cyprinus carpio (common carp) is the source of this 917-nucleotide long non-coding RNA. NCBI's taxonomy places the organism in Eukaryota, Metazoa, Chordata, Actinopteri, Cypriniformes, Cyprinidae. The record is from Ensembl.
UGUGAAUCUUAUUUAGUUGUAUAUACUGUAUAUUUGUUAUAUAAUUAAAUGUACAAAGUGUAAAUGUUCAGUUAGUGUGGCCAUUAUGGAGGCUUUUAGAGAAACUGUCAUGGUGACAGGAGGUUUUGCUCAUCCAUGAUCUCCCUGUGGGGAGUUUGAUGAGGAGAUAUUGUCCAGUUGUUGUAUGUUAGGGUUGUAUUGGUUUGUGAGAGAUAUGAUGUAAUAAUAUUGUCUCAUUCUGUCUCUACAUUACUUUUUCCCUCUCUUUGUCAUGUAGAAGUCCUUUCUUGAAGAGACAGUUAGGCGUGAGUGUGAAGAGAGGGAAGAACUGAUUGCAGCACUGACCCUGACCAAAGAUCAACUACUGGAACUCAAACACUCCAAAACAAAACCAAAUGACACCCAGACACACACCCAGCUCUCCAGAGUCAGACCUACAGUGAAAAACCCGGAUCUCCCUUUCCCCAGACUCAAUCCCAGCCCUCCCAGCCAUCCUCAGACACGCAACCACAGCUCUUUGUCCACUCAGGGCACCAGGCAGCGUUUGUCUGAGUGGAAUUCUUGUAGUAUGAGUAGAAGUUCGACAUCCUGGCAUGGAUCAUCACUGCCAACACCCACCCUGCCCAAAAUCAGCAAAGAGAGAGUCACUUCAGUGAAUGACUUGUGCAAAAGCAUCACUAUGGUCAGAGGUUACCAUAUAGUUGAAAUGAUAGCAACACCAAGGGAAAGGUGGUGCAACACCAACAAAAAUCUUCAAGUUCAGCUGGGGGACGGGGUGUUCAAACUCCACUUUGCUGUGACAGUCAAUCUCUGGCGCUGGCGUUCCUUUCUGGCUUGAGGGCUCAGCCACUGUAAAGGCAGCACCAAGCUCCAUAUAACUUCAUAAUCUUUCUCCUUUAUGAAGCUAUGAAGCCUAC